This is a long non-coding RNA of Monodelphis domestica (gray short-tailed opossum), 1054 nucleotides long. RefSeq lists it as uncharacterized. NCBI's taxonomy places the organism in Eukaryota, Metazoa, Chordata, Mammalia, Didelphimorphia, Didelphidae. The record is from RefSeq and is a predicted model, not a curated record.
CUGCCCGCCUCUCCCCACCUCCGCCAGGGGCCCCAAUGAGGACCUCCCCAGGAAAACAGCGCCACCCAGCGGAUAGUCGCCGCACAGCGUUCCAGGACUGUCUGGCCACGCCCCGUACGUCCUCACGUCACUGAGACGCGGAGCAUCCAUUGGCUCUUUAUUAUUGUGACCUGAUGGAGCCUCUCCCGGCCUUCGUUUCCGAGGCAACUGAUGUAAACAGAACCACGUGGAGUAGAAGCACGCGGGGAUCGAUAGAAGGUGUGGAGAUCGGAGGAAAUGGAAGAGUGUUGCUUAGGUAGAGGAAACAAAGAACCCAUAGAGCAUAUGAUUUAGCUCUAGAAAUGAACAUCUAGUCCAACUCUCUUCUUUUGCAAAUUAUCUGGGGAAGCAGUGGUGGAAUCUGAACUUCAGCUCAGUUACCAACUUCCCGUUCUAUGAUCCAAUCAGCUUCUACAGAACUGGCUCUAAGCUUCCUGGGAUGGAUUCAGGUCCUUCAUCUCAUUAGCAAUAAACACAUCAGCUCCCCUUCCUUUGCUGGUAAUUUCCGCUGAAUCGGAUGAUCUCCUAUCGUCCUUCAGCUCUUCUCCCUUGCCCGCCCAGCUGGAAGGCGCGAACCUUCAUCCCACCAGGAUAGUAGAAAUGGUUUAAUUUGAGAAUGCUCAGAAAAAUGAGCCUGGGAGUCUCCUUUGACUGGAGUUGGGUAAAAAAGACUGGGGCAGAGAGAAAAUUUGGAUAGUCAUGCAUUCAUCUUUCAUUCAGUAUUUACGUCUUUGAACAAAAGUAAAUAAUAUAUUACGGGACUGCUUUGUGCUAAGCUUUGUGGAAUAAAUGCUAAAACAAGACAUCCUCUUCCCUUAAGGAGGUUACGUUCCAAUAGGGGGAGAUAGCAAAAAGGUGAAGAGGUCCAGAAGUUGCUGCUGCUGUUGAAGACACUUCCAAAGCCCACCACUGGUGUUACUGCUACAUGUGCUUCGGCUGACCCCAAACCUGGCAUCACAGACCUCUGCUUUCAACCACCUAAGUUGUCUUUGGUUGAAAAAAAAUGUUUCUCUUG